Molecule: ribosomal RNA, 1804 nt
Filed under: human oral metagenome
Description: bacterial LSU rRNA
Rfam family: Bacterial large subunit ribosomal RNA
Source: RNAcentral
GUGGAGGACCGAACCCGCUAGCGUUGAAAAGCUAUGGGAUGACUUGUGGAUAGGGGUGAAAGGCCAAUCAAACAUCGUGAUAGCUGGUUCUCUCCGAAAUAUAUUGAGGUAUAGCGUCGUGUAGUAGUUAUAAGGGGUAGAGCACUGAAUGGGCUAGGGCAUACACCAAUGUACCAAACCCUAUCAAACUCCGAAUACCUAGUGCGUAAUCAUGGCAGUCAGGCGGCGAGUGAUAAAAUCCGUCGUCGAGAGGGGAACAACCCAGACUAACAGCUAAGGUCCCUAAAUCUCAUUUAAGUGGAAAACGAUGUGAAGUUACUUAAACAACCAGGAGGUUGGCUUAGAAGCAGCCAUCCUUUAAAGAAAGCGUAAUAGCUCACUGGUCUAGUGAUUUUGCGCGGAAAAUAUAACGGGGCUAAAAUGAGUACCGAAGCUUUAGACUUAGUUUUACUAAGUGGUAGGAGAGCGUUGCAUUCAGCGUCGAAGGUGUACCGGUAAGGAGCGCUGGAGCGAAUGCAAGUGAGCAUGCAGGCAUGAGUAGCGAUAAUUGGGGUGAGAAUCCCCAACGCCGUAAACCCAAGGUUUCCUACGCGAUGCUCGUCAUCGUAGGGUUAGCCGGGUCCUAAGCAAAGUCCGAAAGGGGUAUGCGAUGGAAAAUUGGUUAAUAUUCCAAUGCCAACUAUAAUGUGCGAUGGAAGGACGCUUAGAGUUAGAGGAGCCAGCGGAUGGUAGUGCUGGUCGAAAGGUGUAGGUUAAGAUCCAGGCAAAUCCGGAUCUUUUUAAGCCGAGACCCCACAGGCACACAAAGUUCUUCGGAACAGCGUGUGAAUCCUUGAUACUGUCGAGCCAAGAAAAGUUUCUAAGUUUAGUUAUAGUUGCCCGUACCGUAAACCGACACAGGUGGGUGGGAUGAGUAUUCUAAGGCGCGUGGAAGAACUCUCUUCAAGGAACUCUGCAAAAUAGCACCGUAUCUUCGGUAUAAGGUGUGCCUAGCUUCGUUAAGAAUUUACUUCGUAAGCGAAGAAGGUUACAACAAAGAGUCCCUCCCGACUGUUUACCAAAAACACAGCACUCUGCUAACUCGUAAGAGGAUGUAUAGGGUGUGACGCCUGCCCGGUGCUCGAAGGUUAAUUGAUGACGUUAGCUCUGCGAAGCGUUUGAUCGAAGCCCGAGUAAACGGCGGCCGUAACUAUAACGGUCCUAAGGUAGCGAAAUUCCUUGUCGAUUAAAUAUCGACCUGCAUGAAUGGCGUAACGAGAUGGGAGCUGUCUCGAAGAGGGAUCCAGUGAAAUUGUAGUGGAGGUGAAAAUUCCUCCUACCCGCGGCAAGACGGAGAGACCCCGUGGACCUUUACUAUAGCUUGACACUGCUACUUGGAUAAAGAUGCGCAGGAUAGGUGGGAGGCUUUGAUUCGUAGAUCUCGGUUUACGAUGAGCCAUUGUUGAGAUACCACCCUUCUUUAUUCGGGUAGCUAACUAGCCUAAGUUAUCCUUAGGUAGGACAAUGUCUGGUGGGUAGUUUGACUGGGGCGGUCGCCUCCCAAAAUGUAACGGAGGCUUACAAAGGUUGGCUCAAAGCGGUUGGAAAUCGCUUGCAGAGUAUAAAGGCAAAAGCCAGCUUAACUGCGAGACAUACACGUCGAGCAGAGACGAAAGUCGGUCUUAGUGAUCCGGUGGUUCUGUGUGGAAGGGCCAUCGCUCAAAGGAUAAAAGGUACCCCGGGGAUAACAGGCUGAUCUCCCCCAAGAGCUCACAUCGACGGGGAGGUUUGGCACCUCGAUGUCGGCUCAUCGCAUCCUGGGGCU